ACCAGAGGCAACAGCCGCGCACGCGACAAGACCAUAAGCAAGCAAGGCGAGGUCCGUGAGGAGGACGGCGACGAUCCCACGCCAUGACCAACAACUAGACAAAGGAAGGGCACCAGCGGUAUCUAUCUAGGGGUGGAAGUUGCACAGCAAAGGUCAAACAGAUUGAUCGGAAGAUGCAUAGAGACCAGCUGAUUGGGUCAGCAUUCAUCGCGUUUGGCAUCACGUUACUUGCAGGAUUCUUCUAUGCUGCGGUUUUGUCCAAGAUGCUUCCGCCAUAUGAAAACCGGUUUCUGUCAGCGAUCCAAAACGAUAGGUAUUACUGCCUUCUCGUACCCCUCACCCUCCCAGUGAUAAUUGUGGCCGUCUAUUUGCAUUGGCUAAGCAUGAAGAUGUUCAAGCAUGCAUGACGCUUCAUGCAAAGAAGCCUGAAGUGUGUCUAAUGCCAGCCAAACUCAGCUUCGUGGUGACCAUCAACGUAUACCAACACCACAUCUAUCUGAAAGUCAUUGUUAGACUUCUACAAACCAUCAAGCCUUUUUUUGGGGGGCCAAGAAUUCAAACCAUACAUAAUUGUACUAUCUUAAUGACUAUUAAGAG
Molecule: long non-coding RNA, 597 nt
Organism: Oryza brachyantha (malo sina)
Lineage: Eukaryota; Viridiplantae; Streptophyta; Magnoliopsida; Poales; Poaceae
Exons: 3
Source: RefSeq, a predicted model, not a curated record